GUCUGCUAGGGUCCUGCUGCAGAUGCUCUCCUCUGCCACAGGUGUGAAGCCUCUAUUUACUCUAUAUGUUGCCUUUUUUUAUUGUCUUGCUUAGUUGCUGGGCAGUCUUCCUUUUAUGCUUUGUUUUUCUUUCUGUGUUCUUGACAGGGCUAGCCAUCCUGCCUUCAAUAUUCUUUAAGUUUGACCUUAACUUUACACUAGUAGCUGCAAAUACUUAUGCUUAGGCAGUUCUGUAGUGCACAUAUAUUUGAACUAUCAUUAAACUUGCCAGCGAUGAAACUGAAUAUGAUAGAGGUUAUACAGGCCUGAGCAGUUAUCUAGAUUUUAACGACAUUUUUCAAGAGUGAAUUGAGCUUUAUGUUGUGCUGUCUUUAGUUCUAUGUCUCUCACUAAAAAAUAACUCUACUGCAUCUAUUUUUUCAGCUUGGAUGAUUCAGUUGCACCUGGGUUUUUUUGGAGGAAGUUUGCUUGUGGAUCUGAGAAUGUGGAAUGCUCGGGCUUUCAGAGACCUCUACUCUAAAGACUGCUCAACGUCUAUUGUAGCAUAGGGCAGCCUUCCCUGCACAAACUGGAAAGACACAGGUUGGAUGGAUGGUCUAUGAGGUGAGUAGAAAAAUGGCUAACAGGUCACACCCAGAGGGUGGCAAUCAAUGGCUUUUACUCAGGUUGGCAACCUGUCACAAGUGGGGUCCCUUGGGAUAGAUACCCGGCCCCAUGGUGUUCAACGUCUUCACAAAUUAUCCAGACAAUGAGAUAGAAAAUACCCUCACCCAGUUUGCUGGUGAUACCAAACAGGGUGGUGAGGUGAAUACAUCAGAGGGAUGAGCCAACUUACAGAGGGACCUGUGCAGGCUGGAACAGUGAGCUAAGAAGAACAGGAUGAGGUUUAAAAAAGACAAGUGCAACGUCCUGCACCUGGGAUGAAAUAACCAAAAAGCCCACUACAAGCUAGGGUGUGCAUGACUAGGGAGCAGCCUUCCUGAAAGGGACAUGGAGGUCCUGGUAGACAAUAAGGUGAGCAUGAGUCAGCUGUGCACCCCUGCAGCAAGAAAGGCAAGAUCGAUUCUGGUCUGCAUCUGCCCAGCAAUUACAUUCCUUUAAAAAUGUCUCCAUAUAGUCUAUUUUGCAGUAGUUUAAUUUGCUUUAUCUUCAGGGACAUGGUUUUUCUCGUGUAGAUACAAAAUAUAUAUUCUUAGGAAAAUUUAAAAUUAAUGUUUUUCAGUAUGCUAUUUACAGAAGGAAUAUGGAACAAAGAUGACUAUCAUGGUAAGUCAAGUUCAGUUGAUUGGAAAAAUAAAAUAAAAUAAAAUAUUUUUUUAAAAUAACACAAUUGAUAUAAUACUCUUCUCGAUGCUUACAUAGUCACAGUCAUGAAAGACCCUUAUAAUAAUAGACAACACCCAAACCCCAAAGGAAUUUGAAACAUUUUUGAGCAAUAUUUAUUUUUCCCUUUAGUAUUGUCUUAACUAAAAUUCUAAUAAACCUAUGGAUGAAAAAGUUGAAAAGCUUUUUUCAGCUCUUCGCAGCAUAUGCAAUCCACCAAAAGUUUGCC
Molecule: long non-coding RNA, 1552 nt
Organism: Columba livia (rock pigeon)
Lineage: Eukaryota; Metazoa; Chordata; Aves; Columbiformes; Columbidae
Exons: 3
Source: RefSeq, a predicted model, not a curated record